GACGUAGGGCGCGAGCGUUGUCCGGAUUUAUUGGGCGUAAAGAGCUCGUAGGCGGCUCAUUGCGUCAACCGUGAAAACCAGCAGCUCAACUGUUGGCUUGCGGUUGAUACGGGUGGGCUGGAGUUCGGUAGGGGAGACUGGAAUUCCUGGUGUAGCGGUGAAAUGCGCAGAUAUCAGGAGGAACACCGGUGGCGAAGGCGGGUCUCUGGGCCGAUACUGACGCUCAUGCACGAAAGCGUGGGGAGCAAACAGG
RNAcentral lists this ribosomal RNA (253 nucleotides) under uncultured bacterium. Its description in RNAcentral is "partial 16S ribosomal RNA". It matches the Rfam family "Bacterial small subunit ribosomal RNA", at positions 524 to 776 of the family's 1533-position model. The record is from RNAcentral.